CAAUAGCGUAUAUUUAAGUUGUUGCAGUUAAAAAGCUCGUAGUUGGAUUUCGGUUAAGAGCGACCGGUCCGCCGUUUGGUGUGCACUGGUUGGUUUUAACUUCCUGUAGAGGACGUGCUCUGGGUUUAACGACCUGGACUCGGAGUCUACGUGGUUACCUUGAAAAAAUUAGAGUGUUCAAAGCGGGCUUACGCUUGAAUAUUUCAGCAUGGAAUAACACUAUAGGACUCCUGUCCUAUUUCGUUGGUCUCGGGACGGGAGUAAUGAUUAAGAGGAACAGUUGGGGGCAUUCGUAUUUCAUUGUCAGAGGUGAAAUUCUUGGAUUUAUGAAAGACGAACUUCUGCGAAAGCAUUUGCCAAGGAUGUUUUCAUUAA
Molecule: ribosomal RNA, 375 nt
Filed under: uncultured eukaryote
Lineage: Eukaryota
Description: partial 18S ribosomal RNA
Rfam family: Eukaryotic small subunit ribosomal RNA
Source: RNAcentral